RNAcentral lists this ribosomal RNA (448 nucleotides) under uncultured bacterium. RNAcentral's name for it is "bacterial SSU rRNA". It matches the Rfam family "Bacterial small subunit ribosomal RNA", at positions 355 to 825 of the family's 1533-position model. The record is from RNAcentral.
UCGGGAAUUUUGGGCAAUGGGCGAAAGCCUGACCCAGCAACGCCGCGUGAAGGAUGAAGUAUUUCGGUAUGUAAACUUCGAAAGAAUAGGAAGAAUAAAUGACGGUACUAUUUAUAAGGUCCGGCUAACUACGUGCCAGCAGCCGCGGUAAUACGUAGGGACCAAGCGUUGUUCGGAUUUACUGGGCGUAAAGGGCGCGUAGGCGGCAAUUCAAGUCAUCUGUGAAAUCUCCGGGCUUAACUCGGAACGGUCAGAUGAUACUGCUUUGCUAGAGUGCAGAAGGGGCAAUCGGAAUUCUUGGUGUAGCGGUGAAAUGCGUAGAUAUCAAGAGGAACACCUGAGGUGAAGACGGGUUGCUGGGCUGACACUGACGCUGAGGCGCGAAAGCCAGGGGAGCAAACGGGGAUUAGAUACCCGGGUAGUCCCUGAGCGGGCUGGCAAGGCGCAU